This 310-nucleotide long non-coding RNA is filed under the name Carica papaya (papaya). RNAcentral describes it as "long non-coding RNA (CPAP_LNC016559)". The record is from RNAcentral. Lineage: Eukaryota; Viridiplantae; Streptophyta; Magnoliopsida; Brassicales; Caricaceae.
CGGAGCCGCCGUGCCGGAAUUGCGAUAUUGGCCGAAAGGGGCCCUGGGUCUAAUUUGGAAUUUUUUGGGACACGUGCAGGUACCAGUAGUGCGUUUCAGUUCCCCGGAAAAAAUUCAGGAAAAAUUAGGGACAGCCUGUAGGCGCACUGUAGAGCCGUAUUCAGACCCCGAAACAAGUAAGGACCCCUCACCCUAUUUCCUAUCACGGUAUUAAAGUUCAAUAAAUGAUAAAACGGUAUUUCAUGAAUCAAUAGAUGUGUGAAAUUGUUUAAGGUUGCUAAUAGAGCCCCAGUCUGGUGUGUUUGUCGAU